This 446-nucleotide ribosomal RNA is filed under the name uncultured organism. Its description in RNAcentral is "partial 16S ribosomal RNA". It matches the Rfam family "Bacterial small subunit ribosomal RNA", at positions 334 to 797 of the family's 1533-position model. The record is from RNAcentral.
CACUCCUACGGGAGGCAGCAGUGGGGAAUAUUGGACCAUGGGGGCAACCCUGAUCCAGCCAUGCCGCGUGAGUGAUGAAGGCCCUAGGGUUGUAAAGCGCUUUUGUGCGGGAAGAUAAUGACGGUACCGCAAGAAUAAGCCCCGGCUAACUUCGUGCCAGCAGCCGCGGUAAUACGAAGGGGGCUAGCGUUGCUCGGAAUCACUGGGCGUAAAGGGUGCGUAGGCGGGUCUUUAAGUCAGGGGUGAAAUCCUGGAGCUCAACUCCAGAACUGCCUUUGAUACUGAGGAUCUUGAGUCCGGAAGAGGUGAGUGGAACUGCGAGUGUAGAGGUGAAAUUCGUAGAUAUUCGCAAGAACACCAGUGGCGAAGGCGGCUCACUGGUCCGGUACUGACGCUGAGGCACGAAAGCGUGGGGAGCAAACAGGAUUAGAAACCCGAGUAGUCCC